AUUUAAACCUGAUUUUAUUGUCUUUGUUUUGACCUGAGUUACACUGUAAAACCACGUUUGGGACAUGAACUAAACAAAAACUAACCUAUUAGCAAAUUUAGGGUAUAAACGAGCAGCAGCAGGAGCUCCAAGUUCCUACAGGGUCGCCAGGGGGGUUGGUGCCUAUCUCCAUGAGUCACCCUGGACAGGUCUGCAGCCCAUCACAGAGACACACACACACACACACAUCUAAGGGCAAUUAGAGAGACCCGUUACCUUAACAGUCAUGUUGCUGGGCUGUGGGAGGAAGCCAAGGUACCUGGAGAGAACCCACCCAUGCAUGGGGAGAACAUGCAAACGCCCAGGCCGGGAUUCAAAGACAAUAGUGCUACUAACUUCACCACCAUGCAGCUCCUGUUUGCAGACAUUAAGUCUGGAAUUAGAGUGAAGUAAACAUUUCCCAAAAAUGUUCACUGCCUCCACACAUUUAUCUCUGCAGGCAGAAAUUUUACAUAAAAAUGUGGAGAGGUUUAUGUUAUCAGGCUCCUGGACCAGUAACCACCUCUCCAGGUUACCAGGUCCUGGUUUCCUGCAACCCAUAGAUGUUUAAAUAUGUGUAGCAGUUUAUUCCACCUCCUCAGUAGGCCAACCUCUGCAGAUGCUUUUAAAUGACAUUAAUUUCCAACAAGUGCGCAGGAUGAGGGGCUCUUCUAAGAGUUGGAGGCCCCAAAGGUCUGGUGAUGGAGACCAGCUUGCUACAAGCUUCCUAAUGAGAAGAAAAAUGUCCAAUCCUGUUCAUUCCAGCUGAAAAUAGAAUCAAGAUAUAGUGCUUCUCAAACAUUUACACACCCCUGUUUUGUGACGUAAAAACCACGAUAAAUUUUUUCCAAAGUUUUUGUACACACAAUGCAACAUCUAUCUAAAAAUAAAAUCCCUCUUCAUCAACAGGUUUCUAGCAGACAUCUGAAGGUUUCAGCCCAAAACUGGCACUUUUCAGAAUUUUAAUCACGUUGACCAAAACCCCCAGUUCCAUCUGAUGAAUACCAACACCCAUGCAUGAUGCUGCCACCACCGUGUUUUACUAGUGGGGAUGGUGAAACUUUGUUUUUUGUCAAAUUUAACUUUUGCAAAUGUGGCUCUGAGUUCAACUUUCAUUACAUCAGACUAAAACACAUUUAUAGACAUGGUUUUGAAAGGUUUUGGCCCGGCCUGGAUGUUUUCUUUGAAAGAAAAACCUUUUGGUACCGCACAAAAAAGUCCCUGUUGGAAAUUCCCUGUUGUCUUUAUUGCUGUGGGGAUUUUUGGGGCGCCGUCUCCUGAUACCUUUGUUCACAGAACCUUUUUAUCAUUUGAAUGCCAGCUGUUGAGAUGGUGUGACAGGAGGUGCAAAUGGAGCUGUAAUCCUCAAUUAGUUUGACAAUCCUCCCUUAAUGUGGUCUGUCUUGUGCAACCAGAACCUUCGCAGUGUGUGAGGUUCCCCCCUAUUUCCAUUAGUUCCAAGAUUGGGCUGCUGAACAUCUGUGCACCCUACAUGUCAGGAGAUGGCAGAAGAAAACCACCUGGUCUUGUAUAAACCGACAAAUUGACCCAGAACCAACGAUGCAUGCAAGAAUAAGCUGCAGCUUUUUAUCUCACCUGUCCGUCCAUCUUUUUACACCGGAAACACAAUUGUCACAAAAAUGUGUGCACAAAAACCAUCCCAUGGUCCUCAACCUUGGAGAUCACAUCAUUCACAGUUACUGUUCUGCAGCUUAGACCUUUUCAGGGUAAUGAUGACAAGCGACAGGUACACCACCGAGUCACAGCCAAUGUCAUGUGGACAAGUGACAAAAAAGGAGGAAAUUUAGAUUUUCUGAGGAAAUAAAAUGCCAAAGAAGAAAAGAUGAGCGAAAUUAAUAAUCCCUUUUUAAAGAGAUCAACUGAAAGCUAGAAAACCUUUAAUCAGCAUCUUAAGAAGAGGCAUUAAAAAACUGUCCAUCCUUAGAGGAAGAGGAGGAGGAAGAAUACAGAGGAAAAGGCUUUUAUUUUGAAGAAAUCUAAUUCUGAGGAGGCUUGCAUGAAACCCAACCAGAUGCUACCAAAUGGAAUCUGCAUUUAUCCAUCAUUUCCUCAACUCCUGAAGGUCCUGAAGUUCAAACUGUUUCUGGGGAUGAUGAACAAACAUCAACAGAUCCCUCAUCAGUAAAUGAGAACAUUUAUUCAUGAAUGUUGUAAAUAUUUGGAUGAAGAUUAAACCUACUGACAAAUGAGUGUAUUUAUGUAGCCUUGAUGAACAUUCAAAU
Girardinichthys multiradiatus is the source of this 2261-nucleotide long non-coding RNA. RefSeq lists it as uncharacterized. NCBI's taxonomy places the organism in Eukaryota, Metazoa, Chordata, Actinopteri, Cyprinodontiformes, Goodeidae. The transcript is spliced from 2 exons. The record is from RefSeq and is a predicted model, not a curated record.